Molecule: ribosomal RNA, 451 nt
Filed under: uncultured bacterium
Lineage: Bacteria
Description: partial 16S ribosomal RNA
Rfam family: Bacterial small subunit ribosomal RNA
Source: RNAcentral
GUGGGGAAUAUUGGACAAUGGGGGGAACCCUGAUCCAACCAUGCCGCGUGUGUGAAGAAGGCCUUUUGGUUGUAAAGCACUUUAAGCGAGGAGGAGGCUACUUAGAUUAAUACUCUAGGAUAGUGGACGUUACUCGCAGAAUAAGCACCGGCUAACUCUGUGCCAGCAGCCGCGGUAAUACAGAGGGUGCAAGCGUUAAUCGGAUUUACUGGGCGUAAAGCGCGCGUAGGUGGCCAAUUAAGUCAAAUGUGAAAUCCCCGAGCUUAACUUGGGAAUUGCAUUCGAUACUGGUUGGCUAGAGUAUGGGAGAGGAUGGUAGAAUUCCAGGUGUAGCGGUGAAAUGCGUAGAGAUCUGGAGGAAUACCGAUGGCGAAGGCAGCCAUCUGGCCUAAUACUGACACUGAGGUGCGAAAGCAUGGGGAGCAAACAGGAUUAGAUACCCUUGUAGUCC